AUUGAACGCUGGCGGCAUGCUUUACACAUGCAAGUCGAACGGCAGCGCGGACUUCGGUCUGGCGGCGAGUGGCGAACGGGUGAGUAAUAUAUCGGAACGUACCCAGAAGUGGGGGAUAACGUAGCGAAAGUUACGCUAAUACCGCAUACGAUCUACGGAUGAAAGUGGGGGGACCUUCGGGCCUCAUGCUUUUGGAGCGGCCGAUAUCUGAUUAGCUAGUUGGUGAGGUAAAGGCUCACCAAGGCGACGAUCAGUAGCUGGUCUGAGAGGACGACCAGCCACACUGGGACUGAGACACGGCCCAGACUCCUACGGGAGGCAGCAGUGGGGAAUUUUGGACAAUGGGGGCAACCCUGAUCCAGCAAUGCCGCGUGAGGGAUGAAGGUCUUUGGAUUGUAAACCUCUGUCACUGGGGAAGAAACGCUUCAAGUUAACAGCUUGAAGCCUGACUUAACCCGGAGAGGAAGCAGUGGCUAACUCUGUGCCAGCAGCCGCGGUAAU
This 501-nucleotide ribosomal RNA is filed under the name uncultured bacterium. RNAcentral describes it as "bacterial SSU rRNA". It matches the Rfam family "Bacterial small subunit ribosomal RNA", at positions 30 to 524 of the family's 1533-position model. The record is from RNAcentral.